UACGUAGGGGGCUAGCGUUGUCCGGAAUCAUUGGGCGUAAAGCGCGUGUAGGCGGUUCGGUAAGUCCGCUGUGAAAGUCGGGGGCUCAACCCUCGAAUGCCGGUGGAUUCUGUCGGACUAGAGUACGGAAGAGGCGAGUGGAAUUCCUGGUGUAGCGGUGAAAUGCGCAGAUAUCAGGAGGAACACCAAUUGCGAAGGCAGCUCGCUGGGACGUUACUGACGCUGAGACGCGAAAGCGUGGGGAGCAAACAGG
RNAcentral lists this ribosomal RNA (253 nucleotides) under uncultured bacterium. RNAcentral's name for it is "partial 16S ribosomal RNA". It matches the Rfam family "Bacterial small subunit ribosomal RNA", at positions 524 to 776 of the family's 1533-position model. The record is from RNAcentral.